CUUAAAGGAUUUUAGAAAAAUGAAGAUCAAGCCACUUUAUUUUUGUAUUGCAGUAUGCUAAAUAGUGUGCUGGUACUGGAUUGGAGGUUAUAGGAGGUGGGAACAGCCGGGCAGAGCAUUCUACUCGGGUAGGAGCUUCUCAGAAAAGACACAAGGCUGGUAAGAAGAAGGGUGUGCCAGGAUUCCAGCUAUAGCCAGUUUAGCUCUUGUAACAUGUGAUAUUGGUGGGUCAAGUAAUUACAUUUUAGUACAUACCGGUAGAAUGAAUUGUAUUAAGUUUAUGAAGGUGGGUUUGCGGCGCAGGUGCCUACACUACAUCUCCAUAAUCAAUGAUCGGCAUUAGCAUUUGUUUCCUUUCUGUAGGGCUUAGGCAGGACUUGUUUCUGUAUAGGGCAUCUAGUUUUAGAUAAAGUUUUGAAGAGGUUUUUUUUUUCGAUGUGAAGGCCAAAGAAUAGAUUAGGGUCUAGCAACA
Molecule: non-coding RNA, 472 nt
Organism: Pelobates cultripes (western spadefoot toad)
Lineage: Eukaryota; Metazoa; Chordata; Amphibia; Anura; Pelobatidae
Source: the annotation of a GenBank genome assembly